UAUAUAGAAUCUUUUAUUUACAAUAAUUCAACUUACAUUCAUAUCUGCAUGACAGUUAUUUAUGACAAAAAUUUAUAUUAUAACAGUCAUAAUCAAAGAUUUUUCAAUAAUAGUAGCUGGUGAUAAAGCAGUUUUCUCAUCACUUGAAAGAUCCAAAUUCACUCUCAAUUUUUAUAUUUCCAGGUUUUCAAAAGGAAUCAGGGCCCAGCCCAUUGAACUCUAUCUUUUAUCUGACAACAUGAAAUUGUUUUCUCAUUUAGUAACAUUGGCUGGAAAAUGGUAUAAAACAAAAGAGCAAAAUAUAACAGCAAUCACACUAAUAUAUAACACUUCUUCAGUUAGCACUCUCAAUUGAAGAAAUUUUCUUAAAAUGUCUGCACUGAAAUUGCAUG
RNAcentral lists this long non-coding RNA (392 nucleotides) under Androctonus crassicauda. The record is from RNAcentral. Lineage: Eukaryota; Metazoa; Arthropoda; Arachnida; Scorpiones; Buthidae.